This 439-nucleotide ribosomal RNA is filed under the name uncultured bacterium. Its description in RNAcentral is "partial 16S ribosomal RNA". It matches the Rfam family "Bacterial small subunit ribosomal RNA", at positions 339 to 795 of the family's 1533-position model. The record is from RNAcentral.
CUACGGGAUGCACCAGUGGGGAAUCUUAGACAAUGGGCGCAAGCCUGAUCUAGCCAUGCCGCGUGAGUGACGAAGGCCUUAGGGUCGUAAAGCUCUUUCGCUGGGGAAGAUAAUGACGGUACCCAGUAAAGAAACCCCGGCUAACUCCGUGCCAGCAGCCGCGGUAAUACGGAGGGGGUUAGCGUUGUUCGGAAUUACUGGGCGUAAAGCGCGCGUAGGCGGAUCAGAAAGUUGGGGGUGAAAUCCCGGGGCUCAACCCCGGAACUGCCUUCAAAACUCCUGGUCUUGAGUUCGAGAGAGGUGAGUGGAAUUCCGAGUGUAGAGGUGAAAUUCGUAGAUAUUCGGAGGAACACCAGUGGCGAAGGCGGCUCACUGGCUCGAUACUGACGCUGAGGUGCGAAAGCGUGGGGAGCAAACAGGAUUAGAUACCCCCGUAGUC